This 1667-nucleotide ribosomal RNA is filed under the name Leiodon cutcutia (ocellated pufferfish). RNAcentral describes it as "16S rRNA". The stretch from base 95 to 1560 matches the Rfam family "Bacterial large subunit ribosomal RNA". Lineage: Eukaryota; Metazoa; Chordata; Actinopteri; Tetraodontiformes; Tetraodontidae. The record is from RNAcentral.
CACCUAAUAGCUAGCCCCACAUUCAACUACAAAACUCAACUAUUAAUACCCCCUAAUACACUUAAUUAAAUAAAACAAACCAUUUUUCCCCCAAGUACAGGCGAUAAAAAAGGACCAUGGAGCUAUAAAUAAAGUACCGCAAGGGAACUCUGAAAGAGAAAUGAAACAACUCAGUUAAGCACAAAAAAGCAGAGAUUUAACCUCGUACCUUUUGCAUCAUGAUUUAGCUAGUAAAAUUUAGGCAAAGAGCACUUUAGUCUAACUCCCCGAAACUAGACGAGCUACUCCAAGACAGCCUGCAUAGGGCACAUCCGUCUCUGUGGCAAAAGAGUGGAAAGAGCUUUGAGUAGAGGUGAUAAACCUACCGAGUCUAGUAAUAGCUGGUUGCCCGAAAAUUGAGUUUAAGCUCAGCUUUUUGCUUUCUUAAUUCACAGACAUAAAAUACAACAGACUCCAAGAAACCAAAAAAGUAAGUCAAAGGGGGUACAGCCCCUCUGACCAAAGAAACAACUUUUCCAGGAGAAUAAGGAUCAAAAUAAUUAAGGCCACAUGUUUAGGUGGGCUUAAGAGCAGCCACCCUGUUGAAAGCGUUAAAGCUCAGACAUACUUACGCCACUAAUACCGAUCAUACGCAUCCUAAUCCCUACCCUACUAUCGGGCCCUUCUAUGCUCACAUAGAAGAGAAUAUGCUAAUAUGAGUAACAAGGGGACGACCCCCUCCAAGCACAAGUGUACAUCGGAACGAACCCCCACCGAAAACUAACGGCCUCAGCCAAAGAGAGUAAUGAAUUUUAAACUAAAUACAAGAAAAACAUUCACCACCUUAACCGUUAACCCCACACUGGCGUGCCUGACUGGAAAGACUAAAAGAAAAAGAAGGAACUCGGCAAACCUGAUAAAGCCUCGCCUGUUUACCAAAAACAUCGCCUCUUGCAAACAAUGAAUAAGAGGUCCCGCCUGCCCUGUGACUAUAUGUUUAACGGCUGCGGUAUUCUGACCGUGCAAAGGUAGCGCAAUCACUUGCCCUUUAAAUGGGGGCCCGUAUGAAUGGCACAACGAGGGCCUAACUGUCUCCUCUUUAAAGUCAAUGAAAUUGAUCUCUCCGUGCAGAAGCGGGGAUAAAAACAUAAGACGAGAAGACCCUAUGGAGCUUUAGACACAAAACAGAUCACGUCAAACACCUACAAAUAAGUAAUAAACCAAAUGAUUACUGUUCAAAUGUCUUUGGUUGGGGCGACCGCGGGGUAACAAAAAACCCCCACAUGGAAUGAAAGCACUUUCAAAACCAAGAGCUACCGCUCUAAUAAGCAGAACAUCUGACCACCAGAUCCGGCCUAGCCGAUCAACGAACCGAGUUACCCUAGGGAUAACAGCGCAAUCUUCUUUUAGAGCCCAUAUCGACAAGAAGGUUUACGACCUCGAUGUUGGAUCAGGACAUCCUAAUGGUGCAGCUGCUAUUAAGGGUUCGUUUGUUCAACGAUGAAAGUCCUACGUGAUCUGAGUUCAGACCGGAGUAAUCCAGGUCAGUUUCUAUCUAUGAAGUGACCUUUUCCAGUACGAAAGGACCGAAAAGGAAAGGCCCAUGCUAAAAGCACGCCUUUCUCUCACCCGUUGCCUCCAACUAAAACAGGCAAGAGAGCACACAAAAUAGUUAAAGAACAUAACAU